AGGGCACCACCAGGAGUGGAGCCUGCGGCUUAAUUUGACUCAACACGGGAAAACUCACCCGGCCCGGACACUGAAAGGAUUGACAGAUUGAGAGCUCUUUCUUGAUUCAGUGGGUGGUGGUGCAUGGCCGUUCUUAGUUGGUGGAGCGAUUUGUCUGGUUAAUUCCGAUAACGAACGAGACUCUAGCCUACUAAAUAGAUCGCCGGUUUACAAACACCGGUGAGACUUCUUAGAGGGACAGGCGGCGAUUCAGCCGCACGAAACAGAGCAAUAACAGGUCUGUGAUGCCCUUAGAUGUCCGGGGCCGCACGCGCGCUACACUGAAGUGAUCAGCGUGCAUUUUAAGCCUACUCUGCCAAGAGUGGGAAACCCAAUGAACCUUCUUCGUGAUUGGGAUAGGGGAUUGUAAUUAUUCCCCUUGAACGAGGAAUUCCCAGUAAGCACGAGUCAUAAGCUCGCGUUGAUUACGUCCCUGCCCUUUGUACACACCGCCCGUCGCUACUACCGAUUGAAUGUUUU
Molecule: ribosomal RNA, 519 nt
Filed under: uncultured eukaryote
Lineage: Eukaryota
Description: SSU rRNA
Rfam family: Eukaryotic small subunit ribosomal RNA
Source: RNAcentral